This 494-nucleotide ribosomal RNA is filed under the name uncultured bacterium. RNAcentral's name for it is "partial 16S ribosomal RNA". It matches the Rfam family "Bacterial small subunit ribosomal RNA", at positions 28 to 504 of the family's 1533-position model. The record is from RNAcentral.
GAUGAACGCUGGCGGCGUGCCUAAUACAUGCAAGUCGAGCGAACGGACGAGAAGCUUGCUUCUCUGAUGUUAGCGGCGGACGGGUGAGUAACACGUGGAUAACCUACCUAUAAGACUGGGAUAACUUCGGGAAACCGGAGCUAAUACCGGAUAAUAUUUUGAACCGCAUGGUUCAAAAGUGAAAGACGGUCUUGCUGUCACUUAUAGAUGGAUCCGCGCUGCAUUAGCUAGUUGGUAAGGUAACGGCUUACCAAGGCAACGAUGCAUAGCCGACCUGAGAGGGUGAUCGGCCACACUGGAACUGAGACACGGUCCAGACUCCUACGGGAGGCAGCAGUAGGGAAUCUUCCGCGAUGGGCGAAAGCCUGACGGAGCAACGCCGCGUGAGUGAUGAAGGUCUUCGGAUCGUAAAACUCUGUUAUUAGGGAAGAACAUAUGUGUAAGUAACUGUGCACAUCUUGACGGUACCUAAUCAGAAAGCCACGGCUAACUAC